GUCCCGGGCAGGUCACUCUCUCAGCAUGCAGAGAGGAGAGGCACCGUCAACGUCUGACCUUGAUGGACCUUGAGGUCCCAUCCAUCCUUGUCUGAAGAGAAGGUGAGGCUCACAGGGCUCUCCGUAUUCAUCAGCCUCAGGUAAGACUUGUUUUUUUGUUUGUUUGUUUGUUUGUUGAAACAGAAUCUCGUUCUGUUGCCUAGGCUAGAGUGCAGUGGCAUGAUCUCAGCUCACUGCAACCUCUCCCUUCUGGGUUCAAGCAAUUCUCCUGCCUCAGCCUCUCCUGAGUAGCUGGAACUACAAGCAUGCACCACCAGACCUGACUAAUUUUUGUAUUUUUAGUAGAGACGACGUUUCUUCAUGUUGGCCAGGGUGGUCACAAACUCCUGACCUCAGGUGAUCCGCCCACCUCAGCCUCCCAAAGUGCUGGGAUUACAGGCGUGAGCCACCGUGCCCAGCUGGUAAGAUGCUUCUUAAGGCAGAGAGAGACGAGGCAAAGGGCAAGGCAGUGGAAUCAGGAGCAAGGUCUCUAGCGCCUUUCUGGACUGCAUCAGUGACAUCAGAGAAAGAAAACAAACUUCUGCCCAUGCCAGGGAGCAAAUAGGACCUCACAUCACGGCCUCCGUGUUAUCAUGAGCUGGCCUGAUGCUUCCAGCUAAGCCACGUGCUCUCCAGUUGGACAGAAAUAAUUUCCGAGAAUGUCCACUCAGGCCAGAUCAUGCUAAAUCCCACACAUCUUCCACUCUUGCUAAGUAAGCAACUGCUGCAUCUUUCCCAGUUCCAGCUUUGGUCUCCCUCUAGUCUGUCCUCCCUAGAGAUGACAGAUGUAUUCAGAUACCCCCUCACAGAAUCACCCCUGGCCUCUGGCAACUCCCGACUAGAGAAAACCUCUGCUUCCUUAGACCCUCCCGAAAAUCACCCAACCAAAGCCCAAGCCUGGUAGUAGGUCAUUCCCAACAUCUUCUUACUCUGAGACUUCCUGCAGUUCCCAAGCUGUGUGUGCUGUCUCACUGCAACUUGUAAUAAACCCAACUUGUUCAACUACAGGUGUGUACCUGGUGGCUUUCGGCCACAGGGCAAGUGGUCAGUAUGAGCUAAGUACCGUUCUCCAAGCUUGUUGAAAUAUUCUUUGCUGACUGACUACUGAACACUAUCUAUAUCUGGAACCCCAAGCUAUCUCAGGCCAUACACAAGGUCAGGAUCAUGAGGUGAUUCCACCCCUUCUGCUGCUGUUGUCCUCUGUCAAUCACCUGCAUCCAAAGCCAUCUCCCGCAUCACCAGUCAGGGAUUUCCACAGCAAGCACAUGUUCAAUGAGCAUCUACAGGCUAAGCUCCGGGCUAAAGCUUAUGGAGAAAAGCCUUGCCCCUAUAUAAUUUUGAUUACCCACCAAGUACUAAAUGUGGUGUGGACAUAGUACACUUCUCAUGUGGUCCCGAAAGCUUCCAUCUGCAGAAAGUACAAGACGAACACAUUCUAAUAAACAGGAAGCUAUGAACCAGCUACAUCAUCCAUCAGCUCUUUCUUAUCAGGGAAUUGGCAGGAUACAUUAACAAAAGGGUAAUUAUUUAUUAAUGGUUACUUGAAACCUGGGCUUUCCACACCCGAUUUCAAAACACACAGGGCCAUUUAUUUGAAGUGGUUUCCGGACUUUGAUGGAUUGAAUAUUCGCCCGUGCUGGCAAAGGCAUACACACAGUGAUGCUAACUAGAGUAACUAUAGAAACUAUCCUAUCCUGAUACAGCCUUAGAACAUCUCUGAACAAUCAUCCGCAUAAAGGAAACAUCAAGGGAAUAGAAAAACCAUCUGGUCUCUAUAGCUAGAACAUUUGAACAGCUUGUAAAGGGAAAGAAAUUGAAACCUCACAACAAAAAAUCUGGCAGAUGAUAAACACAAGAUUUUUGAGUUUAUCAGCCAGUUGCUACAGACCAAGAUCAAUAUACAAAGAAAGGACAUGCUCAUAACCCAGGACCUCCGACUGGAAUGAAAAGACAGGCAGAAAAACCUGAAAGGUUUGAGGCUGAUUACAGUUAUACUACCCCGAGCCCACUACUCACAGAAAGCUAUUUAUUUUCUUUACAGAUGAUGGAAAAUUCCAAACAGAAUAAAAUUAUACAGAAUGUUGCAAGAAAAAGCAUUUCUUUGGGUGUUUCUAGCUCAGCUGCAAACAGGAGGUAGUGAAGUCCCACGAGGAAGGUGUGCUCUGUUGAAAUGUCUAAGUCGAUUGUGCAGUUUUGAAAGUCACUGCCAAUCCAGAGAUGAUUUCAACCCAAGUUCUUUCGUGAAAUAAUAAUUCCCAGCUCCUAAAUAAUUCCCAGCUCCUAAAUCCCAGAUCUGACUCUUUCUAAAUGUGUCUUUUUCCUGUCUCUUCUUGCUCACCUCUUCUGUAGCCACAGGCAGUUUUCAGCCAACAGUUUGACUUCAACAAAGUCAGCAGCAUCCUGAGUCAAACCUGGCUAGAGUCCCUCUACUCAGAGCAGUGUUGCAUGGGUGUGUCACACAGAUGUGCACAGUCACCCAGACCACAGGGCUUCUCUGGAAUCUGGACGGGAACUUGGCUAGGGCUUGACCUGCUUCGGUUCACCACCUCUCUGCCUAGCCCUUUUCUAUGGAAUUUCCAUCUGCUUCUCUACAGCAAUGACUUGAAAACUGGCAACAUAAGAUACUAGCAACUCAUUACUGAAUAGGGCAUUUUAAUGUCUUUCAAAGUCCUUCUAAAGCCAUUUAAUGUGUGUGUUUAGGCAUCUCUCCCAAAAUAGAAUGUCCUAUUUUGGCUCCCCUUUUUUUUUCUCUACCUCCUAAUCCCAUCACCCAAAGGGAACCACUGUUAGUAGUUUUAUGUGAGUCUGUUUAUGGUCAUCAAACAUCUACUUAAGUUUCAAACCAAAAUUAUGUCAUAUCUUUUGUCAUGUUCUACAACCUGCUAUCUUACUUUACAAUGUUAUGAAUGUCUUUGUAAUACAUUAAUUGCAGGUGUACUUAAAGGUUGCACUGCUGUCCAUUGCAUCAAGAUACCCUCAGAUGUCCAUUCAGUCUCCUAAUUCCUCUCGAUGAUACAGUGUUGCAAUCAACAGCUUUGAACGUGAAAGAAAAUGCAAUGUCCUAGUAUGCUUGUAAUUGUCUUAUCUCCAAGAUGUUGAGAUAAAUGUAGAUAGUUUCACCUACCUACGGCCCUAUUGCCUUCUCCCAGACAUGAGCACCUCCCACUUAAGUACGAGGCUGAGCUUGGGAAUAACUGCCUUUUACCCCCACAUGUAAUUGAGCACCAAGGGCCAUCUUUUCUUGCUUUUCAAUACUUCCCAAAUGAAUCCACUCUUUUUCUGUCUCUCCUCCCAUCUUAAGCAACUACCAUCUCUUACCUGGGUUACAACACCAUCUGCAAUGUGGACCUCUCUAUUCCUCUUAUGUGACUGUAAUCCAGCCACAUGGUGAUACUGAUCAUACUCAAUUCAACUAUGAUUAUUCCCCUGCUGAGACCCUUCACAGGGGUCCGUGGUCCUUGGGAUACAAUAAACACUUCUCAGCAUUCAUUUCUCAGGUUCUUGUUUUCCUUCUCAGCCCUCUCUGCUGCCUCUUCCAACAUGGAAGCCCACAGUCCAGGCAGGCAUGUGGAACAACGUUCACCUCCUCAAAAGUGCCACUUUUUCUCCUCCCCUCAAGCGUCUGCACCUGCUGUGUCCUAAGCUUGGAUCAAUUUGCCAUUUACUCAUCUCCCUCAAGCCCCUGAGACUGUGGCUUUACGUGGAAGAGACAACACAGCAGCCUAUGAAGUGAGGGAGAGAGGACCGAGUGUCCCCGGGUGUUCCAACUUUUUUCCAUAAGUCUAACCCUAUGGAGCAAAACUCCCAUUGGAAGAAUCGCCACCUGGUCCCAGCAGAACAAUGCCACCAUCAAGCAAGCUACGGCACUUCUGAGGUCCAGAACUGUUUGGACCAAAGCAAAAUCAAAACAAACAAACAUACACACAAAACAUGGUGGAGGGCUGAAGUCAGUUGUCUAAUACCUACAACUUGCUUAGCAAUGGACUUUUUCAGGAAUAAAGGGAUCGUGAAUCCCUUUGACUGGUCUCUGCAUCUUGGAGCUCUGAACUAAGAGUCAUAUUAGUGUAUUAAUGUAUUGUCUGGGGGAUAUGAGCUCUGAUUUGGGCAAAUCCUGGAACAUACCCACUCUGCCAGCUCCAUACAUUCAAGGAUCUAACUGUCUCAUUUAUCAUGAAUCUCCAGCACCUAGGACAGUGCAUAAACCAUGGCAGGUGCUUGAAAAAUAUUGCCGGAAUAAAUUAAAAACUGAAUAAGAAGAGACAAUAAAAGCCAUCAAGAACAAUUAUCCCACCCAAAUUUCCCCCAUAAAUGACAGAAUGCUCUAGAAAUCCAUAACUGGAGAAUCCUCAGAUCCUUUCUAAAGUGACAGGAGGCAGAAAGACAGCGGGUUGGAAGCUCAAGGAGUGGACAAUUGAGUAAAGGCAGUAGGGACACGGGUCCUAUCUGCCUUCCAAGGUAGUCCAUUGGUAUGCAUCACUGAUAAAAUGAUGGAGGGAAGGCAUCUCUUCCAGCUUCAUUGUGGGGAAGACCAGCAAGCAGAUUCACAGGCUGGCUGGUUUCAUCCAGACGCGAAGACACGACUUGAGGAUGCUGUCUAGACUGGAGGGAAUAUGCUACAUCAGCCAAAGGCCCCGGGGUUUAUUUUAGUUCUGUGCGUACCUUUAACGUCAUAAGGUGAUGCUGCAGUGCCCUGAGAAAGAGAGACAGCCACACUUGCAUGCUGCACCGCACAGGACACUGAAUCACCAGGCCACACACUUCGUGGGUGAGCCAGAGAGAAUCCAUUUAAUGAAGGCUUGGACCAGGAUUUCCCAUACCUUGUUUCAUGGAGCUUUGUGCUUUGAGCUACUCCAGGAAAUCAAUGGUUACCUGGUCAGAUAAGUAAAGAAAUGCUGCACAUUCUAAUUCCUUAUUUUUAUUUAUUUUUUAUUUAUUUGAGAUACAGUCUCACUGUGCUGCCCAGACUGGAAUACAGUGGCAUGAUCUCAGCUCACUGUGACCUCUGCCUCCCAGAUUCAAGUGAUUCUCUUGCCUCAGCCUCCUGAGUAGCUGGGAUUACAGGGGUGCACCACCAUGCCUGGCUAAUUUUUGUGUUUUUAGUAGAGACAUGGUUUCACCAUGUUGGCCAGGCUGGUUUCGAACUCCUGACCUCAAAUGAUCCACCCACCUCGGCCUCCCAAACUGCUGGGAUUACAGGUGCGAGCCACCACACCUGGCCAGAUCUUCCUUCUUUCCUUAAAAAGAAAUAAUCUAAAUUAAAAACUCAUUAACCCCUUAAAAAGGAAGGACGUUUUGACACAUACUACAAUGUGGAAGAACCUGGAGGACAUUAGGCUCAGUAAAAUCAGCCAGUCCCAAAAGGAUGACUAUAGCACCAUUGUAUGAGAUCCAUAGAAUAGCCAAAUUCAUAGACAGAAAGUAGAAGGGAGCUUGCCAGGGACUGGGGGAAGAGAGAACAGGGAGUUAUUCUUUUAAUGGGGAAAAAGUUUCUGUUUGGAAUGAUGCAAAAGUGCUGCAGAUGGAUGAUGGUGACGAUUGCACAGCAAUGUGAAUGUAGCUAACGCCAUUGAACUGUACACUUAAGGAUGGUUAACAUGGUACAUUUUAUGUUAUGUGUAUUAUUACCACAAUUUUUAAAAAUUAAAAAAAAAACUCAUUAACCCAGAGUUGACCCAAAUUUUCCUUCAUGGAAUAACUCUUAAAAAUUAUUUUAACCUAUCACCACCCACCUCCCAACAACUGCUGUUGCCAUGGGGUAUAUCAACUAGCUUAGGGCUUGAAAGUGAAAUUCUAAGCUUGAGGCUUUUUGGGGAGGGGGACUGACACUGUUAGGAACUGAUGGUCAUGGAUAACAAAGCUAAAGCUCUUUUGAACUGGAGUGGGACCAAGCAAAUGGACUUGCCUGCUCCCUAGCUGUUCCCCAGGAUAUUGUCCUUGUCGGAGAACAGAUCACAGGCCACAGGGAGGUGGCCGCCUCCAGCAUUUAGGAGAAGAUCCUAUGAUAUUGCCUAGAGCUGUAGAGAUCCUGUCGCUGAAAGCUCUGUGGCUUCUGCCUUCCAUUUGUUCCUUUAGUCUAGUUCCCACCUAAGACAGAGAAAGAUCAUUUGCUCUAUUUCCAUGUCCUUGGCCAAAUUUCACACUUGCUCAAAGGAAAAAUAAAAGAUUUUAUUUUUGUCACACGCAGGGUCCCACAUUUGCUAUUACAAGAAGACCUAUGUGUUAGUCCAUUCUCACACUGCCAUAAAGAAAUACUCAACACUGGGUAAUUUGUAAGGAAAAGAGGCUUAAUUGACUCACAGUUCCACUGGCUGGGGAGGCCUCAGGAAACUUAUAAUCAUGGCAAAAGGGAAAGCAGGCACCUUCUUCACAAGGCGGCAGGAGAGAGUGAAGCAAAGGAGGGACUUUCAAACACUUACGGAACCAUCAGAUCUCAUGAGAAAUCACUCACUGUCAUGAGAACAGCAUGGGGAAACUGCCCCCAUGAUCCAAUCAACUCUCUUCUUUGACAUGUGGGGAUUACAGGUCCCUCCCUUCAUAGAUGGGGAUUACAAUUCAAGAUGAGAUUUGGGUGAAGACACAGAGUCAAACCAUAUCAACCUAUUUUUACCAGUUGUUUUGAACCACAUGAAAUUGUCAAAUUUGACCAUUUUGACCUGCAAAAAUAGCAACUGCAAAUGGUUUAAACUAAACAGUUGUGUGCUGAUCCUGCCUCCUAACCCCAGCAGAGUUGUUUUCCACAAAGUGUACUCCAGGAAAUGCAUCUUUGAGCACAUGCUUUUUGAUCCAAGUGUCCUCUAUCAACAUCUGCCACGACCUUGUCUCCUACACUAGCCUCCACCACACGUUUCUCUGCCUAUAAUCUUCUCCUUUCCUGCCCACCUCACAGACAUCACCCGGACUUUCAAUGAAGCACCAGGCACGGAGCGAGAACACUCAGCUUCCAGUACGGGAGCACUCAGCCUUCCACUCUGCCACUCUCUCC
RNAcentral lists this long non-coding RNA (7021 nucleotides) under Homo sapiens (human). RNAcentral describes it as "HSALNT0158468". Lineage: Eukaryota; Metazoa; Chordata; Mammalia; Primates; Hominidae. The record is from RNAcentral.